This 503-nucleotide ribosomal RNA is filed under the name uncultured bacterium. Its description in RNAcentral is "partial 16S ribosomal RNA". It matches the Rfam family "Bacterial small subunit ribosomal RNA", at positions 30 to 523 of the family's 1533-position model. The record is from RNAcentral.
AUUGAACGCUGGCGGCAGGCUUAACACAUGCAAGUCGAGCGGGUUGAUGGUGCUUGCACUAUCACUUAGCGGCGGACGGGUGAUUAAUGCUUAGGAAUCUGCCUAAUAGUGGGGGACAACAUCUCGAAAGGGAUGCUAAUACCGCAUACGUCAUACGCGAAAAGGCAGGGGAGCACUUGUCACCUUGCGUUAAUCGCUGAGCCUAGGUCGGAUUAGCUAGUUGGUGGGGUAAAGGCCUACCAAGGUGACGAUCUGUAGCGGGUCUGAGAGGAUGAUCCGCCACACUGGGACUGAGACACGGCCCAGACUCCUACGGGAGGCAGGAGUGGGGAAUAUUGGACAAUGGGGGGAACCCUGAUCCAGCCAUGCCGCGUGUGUGAAGAAGGCCUUAUGGUUGUAAAGCACUUUAAGCGAGGAGGAGGCUCUUUUGGUUAAUACCCAAGAUGAGUGGACGUUACUCGCAGAAUAAGCACCGGCUAACUCUGUGCCAGCCGCCGCGGUAA